This 497-nucleotide ribosomal RNA is filed under the name uncultured bacterium. Its description in RNAcentral is "partial 16S ribosomal RNA". It matches the Rfam family "Bacterial small subunit ribosomal RNA", at positions 28 to 507 of the family's 1533-position model. The record is from RNAcentral.
GAUGAACGCUGGCGGCGUGCCUAAUACAUGCAAGUCGAGCGAACGGACGAUAAGCUUUCUUCUCUGAUGUUAGCGGCGGACGGGUGAUUAACACGUGGAUAACCUACCUAUAAUACUGUGAUAACUUCGGGAAACCGUAGCUAAUACCGGAUAAUAUUUUGAACCGCAUGGUUCAAAAGUGAAAGACGGUCUUGCUGUCACUUAUAGAUGGAUCCGCGCUGCAUUAGCUAGUUGGUAAGGUAACGGCUUACCAAGGCAACGAUGCAUAGCCGACCUGAGAGGGUGAUCGGCCACACUGGAACUGAGACACGGUCCAGACUCCUACGGGAGGCAGCAGUAGGGAAUCUUCCGCAAUGGGCGAAAGCCUGACGGAGCAACGCCGCGUGAGUGAUGAAGGUCUUCGGAUCGUAAAACUCUGUUAUUAGGGAAGAACAUAUGUGUAAGUAACUGUGCACAUCUUGACGGUACCUAAUCAGAAAGCCACGGCUAACUACGUG